CCCUUAGAUGUUCUGGGCCGCACGCGCGCUACACUGAUGCAUUCAACGAGUGUACCUUGGCCGAGAGGCCUGGGCAAUCUUUUGAACGUGCAUCGUGAUAGGGAUAGAUUAUUGCAAUUAUUAAUCUUGAACGAGGAAUUCCUAGUAAACGCAGUUCAUCAAACUGCAUUGAUUACGUCCCUGCCCUUUGUACACACCGCCCGUCGCACCUACCGAUUGGACGGUCCGGUGAAGCCUCGGGAUUGUGGCGGUUGCCUUUAUUGGUGGCCGCCGCGAGAACUUGUCUAAACCUUAUCAUCUAGAGGAAGGUGAAGUCGUAACA
This 322-nucleotide ribosomal RNA is filed under the name uncultured eukaryote. Its description in RNAcentral is "partial 18S ribosomal RNA". It matches the Rfam family "Eukaryotic small subunit ribosomal RNA", at positions 1470 to 1796 of the family's 1831-position model. The record is from RNAcentral.